UCCAGACUCCUACGGGAGGCAGCAGUGGGGGAUAUUGCACAAUGGGGGGAACCCUGAUGCAGCGACGCCGCGUGGGUGAAGGAGCGUUUCGGCGCGUAAAGCCCUCUCGGCAGGGAAGAAGGAGGACGGUACCUGACUAAGAAGCCCCGGCCAACUACGUGCCAGCAGCCGCGGUAAUACGUAGGGGGCAAGCGUUAUCCGGAUUUACUGGGUGUAAAGGGGGCGCAGACGGCAGCGCAAGCCAGGAGUGAAAGCCCGGGGCCCAACCCCGGGACUGCUCUUGGAACUGCGCGGCUGGAGUGCAGGAGGGGCAGGCGGAAUUCCUGGUGUAGCGGUGAAAUGCGUAGAUAUCAGGAGGAACACCGGUGGCGAAGGCGGCCUGCUGGACUGCGACUGACGUUGAGGCCCGAAAGCGUGGGGAGCAAACAGGAUUAGAUACCCCGGUAGC
RNAcentral lists this ribosomal RNA (448 nucleotides) under uncultured bacterium. RNAcentral's name for it is "partial 16S ribosomal RNA". It matches the Rfam family "Bacterial small subunit ribosomal RNA", at positions 330 to 794 of the family's 1533-position model. The record is from RNAcentral.